GACGAACGCUGGCGGCGUGCUUAACACAUGCAAGUCGAACGGUAAGGCCCUUCGGGGUACACGAGUGGCGAACGGGUGAGUAACACGUGGGUGAUCUGCCCUGCACUUCGGGAUAAGCCUGGGAAACUGGGUCUAAUACCGGAUAGGACCACUGCCUGCAUGGGUGGUGGUGGAAAGCUUUUGCGGUGUGGGAUGGGCCCGCGGCCUAUCAGCUUGUUGGUGGGGUGAUGGCCUACCAAGGCGACGACGGGUAGCCGGCCUGAGAGGGUGACCGGCCAGACGGGGACUGAGAUACGGCCCAGACUCCUGCGGGAGGCAGCAGUGGGGAAUAUUGCACAAUGGGCGCAAGGCUGAUGCAGCGACGCCGCGUGAGGGAUGACGGCCUUCGGGUUGUAAACCUCUUUCAGCACCGACGAAGCGCAAGUGACGGUAGGUGCAGAAGAAGGACCGGCCAACUACGUGCCAGCAGCCGCCGUAA
Molecule: ribosomal RNA, 478 nt
Filed under: uncultured bacterium
Lineage: Bacteria
Description: partial 16S ribosomal RNA
Rfam family: Bacterial small subunit ribosomal RNA
Source: RNAcentral